Long non-coding RNA from Anolis carolinensis (green anole), 3036 nucleotides. RefSeq lists it as uncharacterized. Lineage: Eukaryota; Metazoa; Chordata; Lepidosauria; Squamata; Anolidae. The transcript has 2 exons. The record is from RefSeq and is a predicted model, not a curated record.
CCACAUGGUGCAUCUGGGGCGGCUUGAAAAGCGGGAGAAGUCUCAAGCUUUUUCUUAUGACUCCUACUAUAUACGGAGGGGAGAAAACUACCAUCCCCAUGAUUCCUUGCGCCAGAAAUAAUUACGAGCUUGGUUUUGGUUGCGCAGGGCUUACUGGGAAAUGUAGUUAUUUUGACUAUAGACCUUCAGGUUAUGUUGAGCUGCAGAUUCUAUAGUGUAGAAUUAAUACACUGGGUUGCUGUGAGUUUUCCGGACUGUAUGGCCAUAUUCCAGAAGCAUUUUCUCGCCUGCAUCUGUGGCAGGCAUCCUCGGAGGUUGUGAGCUCUCUUUUAUAACAGUCUACUUCCAAGGAAUUCAAGCCUCAACAGACUUCCAACACUGGCUUCUGAACUCAGACUCAAGCCUCAACUAUCAUUCCUCAACUGUCAUCUUUUUAAACUGCAUUCUAAACAAUUACUGAACCAGUCACAUGGUCUACAGCCCCUCCCACUGCCUCAAGCACAUAGAACUUCUUUGCAAACCAAAGAAGACAUACACUUCAAGAAAUAAACGACACAUUAUAGACAGACAAAACAUUGGAUAGAGGAGGCUUGAGAAGGUUGCCAUCUCCAACUAAUUGCACAUCGACUAAUGGCAACCCUAAGAGUUUCAUCCGUGUUUUCUUAGGAGUGGUUUCACCAGUUCCUUCCUCUGAAAUAUAGCCUGCAGUACCUGGCAAUCCUUGGCAGUCUCUCAUCCAAGUACUAACCAUAGUUGGCCCUGCAUAGCUUGCAAGAUCACAAGAGAUCUCAUGCCUUUAGGGUGUUUCGGUGGCUCUUGAAACCAUCUUUCAACAAAUGUGAGAUAGGAACAUGUUUUAAAUAAGGCUAAUGUAUUUACAGCAGUGAGGUUUCUAUACACUUGUGAUGGCCAGCUCAGACCAACGGCGGGAAGUGGCUGGAAGGGCCAAUGGUGGAGAUGGAUGUCAGCAGCUCCCAGCAAUCUCCCCAGCUUGGUUCAGUCAAUCAUUGCUGAGGAUGACCCACCAGCACUGACAGACACUCCACAGCAGUCUGAGGUAAAUACAGCAGAUCCAGCCAGCAUGGAGUUAAACAGAUCUCCAGCUUUAAGACCUCAUCACAUUGAGAAAUAUUCCAUUUCUGAGACUUAUUUAAGAUUAUUUCCAACAGUCGCAUGAUGUUUACCCCAUCCCGUUGGAAAUCCAUCUGGAAAACAGUAUAUUUUUAGGUGUUAUUCUAACUGUACUAUUUGAAAAACGAUUGAGUUUUCGUGUAUGAUCAGGAAAUCAGUAUGCAUCCCAUCAGCAACUUGAAAUUCGGAUGUGUGUCUGGGGGCGGAGUCUCAUGACCCACCAUUUCUGUUUGGGAUGUCAAACAGGAUGUCCCAAAUAGAAAUUGCCACUUUACCUCACUUUUUAAUUUAUUUUUUAAAAAACAAGAAUCUGCACAUUUUCUUCCUCUGUCAUAUUUGCAUUGAGGCAACUGAUUUUUUACUUUUAUCUAUUACAACUCCUCAGAAGGAGAAACAGCGUUGUCAGAAGCUGUUGCCUCAAGUUCAGUCUGAAGUAGUAACUGCGGCGGCAGCAUCAGUAGAUGCAACAAAGGAGCCAUAUCUAAUGAAUCAAUAAUCUAUCAUUUAGAAAUCCAAAAAGAUUACAUUCCUCAGAACUCCGUACUAUAGAUCUCUGUAUUUUGUGCCAAAAGGUAGUGAUCAGGCAAAUGCAUUUACUAUGCAGACGGAGAAUGUUUUCAAAUCUUGCAAGAACAAUAAUUUGCCUUGUGCACUGUGCCUCUGAUAACACAGCAUAAUCACAACAACACUCAAUUACAUUUAUUGCCGGUUGCUGUCUUUACCCAUAAUUGAGGAUUGUGGGUACAAAAGCUUCAGUAAGUAGAACAUAGUGUAAACUGUGCGUUCUUGAGCACACAUAUUUAAUUAUAUUAGGUGGAUAUUCCAUCUGAAUAUUAGGAAGAACUUCCUGACUGUGAGAGCUGUUCAACAGGGGCUGGGCUGUGGCGCAGGCUGGUGAGCAGCCUGCUGCAAUAAAUCACUCUGACCAUGACGUCAUGAGUUCGAGGCCAGCCCGUGGCGGGGUGAGCACCCGUCAAUUAAAAAAUAAAAAAUAGCCCCUGCUCGUUGCUGACCUAGCGACCCGAAAGAUAGUUGCAUCUAUCAAGUAGGAAAUAAGGUACCACUUAUAAAGUGGGGAGGCAAAUUUAGCUAAUUUAUGAUGUUGGAAUGAGGAAGUGCUAUCACAGUGGAUGAUGAAGCAGCUGCUUCCCCUGUGGCCAGAAUCGAACAUCCCCUCAGGAGAAGGUUGAAUUGCCUCUGCGUCUUGUCUCUGUUCUAUGUGUAUAUGGGCAUUAAAUGUUUGCCCUAUAUGUAUAUAAUGUGAUCCGACCUGAGUCCCCUUCGGGGUGAGAAGGGCGGAAUAUAAAUACUGUAAAUAAAUAAUAAAUAAAUAAAACAGUUGAACUUUCUGCCCUGGAGUGUGGUGGAAGCUCCUUCUUUGGAGGUUUUUAAACAGAGGCCAUCUGUCAGAGGUGUUUUGAAUGCGAUUUUCCUGCGUCUUGGCAGGAGGUUGGACUGGAUGGCCCACAAGGUCUCUUCCAACUCUCUGAUUCAUAGUUAACAAAAUCUAUUAAGCAGUGUGUCAGAAUCGAAGUAUAAUUACGGUAUGUGGUGAGUCAAUUAUCUAUUACUGACAUAAGACGGAAGGAACAGAUCUGCCACCCCGCUAUUACUGUUACCUUUCACCCUCCCUGUACCAAUAACUUUGCUCUGUCUCAAACUCCCGUUUCUUGCUUUAUAGUGUGACAGUGAUGCAAUACUGUGCUUCUCUACCUAUCCUCUGUUUAAAGCAGCAUUCUCUAUUUUGUAUGCAUUUAUAGAAAUAUGGUUUAAUGUGAAUCUUUUAUAGAAACACAUUUAAAAUGUGUGUUAAAAAUUUUCCAAUGUUUGUGUUUUAACUAUGCUGUAACCCGCCUAAAGCCACAAUUAGAGGGGAGUAAGAAAUAAAAUUGUUGUUGUUGUUGU